RNA transcript from Rhododendron vialii, 3090 nucleotides. It is a transcript of the gene named pentatricopeptide repeat-containing protein At1g63330-like, with no coding region annotated. The transcript is spliced from 3 exons. NCBI's taxonomy places the organism in Eukaryota, Viridiplantae, Streptophyta, Magnoliopsida, Ericales, Ericaceae. The record is from RefSeq and is a predicted model, not a curated record.
CUAAGCUCUGUCCGUCUAUGCCAUAGAUCACUAGAGAGAGAAAGGGCUGAGGACGCAGAAGAAGAUGGUUCAGAUUGGUGCUUUUACUCCGAUCAGUCCCAUGGAUUCUUCUUCUUCUUCUUCUAGUUACCGAAGAUGUAAUCUUCUCCCUCCACCCCACCCUUCAUCGUGUUCCUUUCCUACUGAAACUGCAAAUCUGUUUCGUUCUCACUCUCACACUAGAAGAAACCCUAGUUCUUAUCCUUCUUCAACCAUCACCAGUCCACCAAAACACCAACCCAAGUCGAGAAAACAGCUACCCAAGUCGAGAAAACAGCUUGAUAAUCUCCGAGCAGCUGAAUUGUUCCUCACUCUGAUGCCCCGAACGCGACCUCUGCCAAGCAUUCUUGAAAUCAACAAGGCGUUGGGGAUUAUUACGAAAUCGGGUAAGUACAGCACGGCUCUUUCUCAUUUCAACAAGUUGCAGUCACAAGACAUUGUGCUAGAUUUGAAUACCUUCGGCAUUGCUAUUAACUGCUACUGUCACGUCAAUCGAGUUGGCUAUGGGUUCUCGCUUUUAGGCAGCAUCUUCAAACACGGUUAUGAGCCUGAUGAAGUUAUCUUCCCCCCGCUGUUAAAUGGACUUAUUGCACAAGAUAAAACUGCUGAGGCUAACGGACUUAUCGCACAAGAUAAAACUGCUGAGGCUCUUUCUCAUUUUGACAAGUUGCGGUUGCUAGGCAUUCUGCCAAAUGUGUAUACCUUCAACAUUGCAAUUAACUGUUAUUGUCGCGUGAAUCGAGUUGGCUUUGGGUUCUCUCUUUUAGGCUGUAUCUUUAAAUGCGGUUAUAAGCCCAAUGUAGUUACCUUCACCACCCUGUUAGAUGGACUUAUUGUACAUGAUAAACCUGCUGAGGCUCUUUCCCAUUUUGACAGGUUGCAAUUGCUGGGCAUUCAGUUAAGUUUGUAUACCUUGAACAUUGCAAUUAAGUGCUACUGCUGUGUGAAUCGAGUUGGCUUUGGGUUCUCUCUUUUUGGCAGCAUCCUCAAACACGGUUAUACACCUGAUGUAGUUACCUUCAACAGUCUGUUAAAUGGACUUAUUGCCCAAGGUAAAAUUGCUGAGGCUGUGGAGUUAUUUGAGAAAAUUGUCAAAAAAGGUGAAAUCAAACCCAACGUGACGAUGUAUGGAUCGCUAAUAAACAGGCUUUGCAAAAUGGGAAACAGAGGAGCGGCUAUUAGUUUUUUGAGGAUAGCGGAAGAAGGAGGUUUAAAACCUGACACCAAGACUUAUAGCAUGAUCAUUGACCGUCUUUGCAAGGAUGGGAUGGUGGAUGACGCUGUCAACUUGUUUGUAGAAAUGAAUAGCAAAUGUUUUUGUGCAGAUGUAGUCACUUAUACAUCUAUGAUUGAUGGCCUAUGCAAACAUGGCAAGACGAAGGAAGCAAUAGGAAUACUACGAGAAAUGUUGGAUAAUGCUAUUUCACCAAAUGUUCGUACGUUUAAUGUUUUGGUCUCUGCUCUUUGCAAGCAAGGGAUGACAAAGGAAGCGGAGGAGUUACUUGAAUUAAUGGAAAAAAGAGGUGUGGAUCCUGAUGUUUUCACAUACACUAGUCUCAUGGAGAGAUAUUGUUUGCAAGGCCGGAUGGACGAAGCAAUGAGAUUGUUAAAUGCCAUGGUGGAAAGGGGCAUUCAUCCCAACACUUGUUGCUAUAACAUUUUAAUCAAGGGAUAUUGCAAGAACAGGAAAUUAGGCAAAGCCUUGCAUCUCUUCCGAGAAAUGCCUCUACUCGGUCUAAAACGUGACUUCAUUACUUUUACAACUAUAUUUCUUGGUCUGGUUCAAAUAGAUACAUAUGCUGCCGCCCAAGAAAUUCUUAAUGAGAUGCAAGCUGCCGACCUACAUCCCGAUACUAAAACUUGUGGUCUCCUGUUCGACAGCCUUUGCCAAAGUGGGCAUAUUGAUGAAGCAAUGUUCUUAUUUCACAUGAUGGAGAAAAAGGGUUUAGGUCUCGAUAUUGUUAAGUACAAUGUCCUUGUUGAUGCCUAUUGCAAGAAGAAAACACUAGAAUGAAUCAAGGUCUUUUGAGGAACCCAAGCUUCAGGAAGCUGCCUGCAGAAUGAUGUCUCUUACACGAUAUCGUUCUGGGAUUUCAUUGAGGUUUGAAGUCAUUUGAGGCCAAGAGGCAUCAACAGGGAUAUCCAUAUUCCAAAUAGUUUGAAAUUCCCCCAUGGAACAAUGCUGUCGGACAACUUGUCAUGGAAUGUUCAACAUAUUGAUCUGAUGUUCAAAUGGCUGCUUCUACUUUUUUGGUUAGAGUGAUACGACAUCCCACUGCUUCGAUUUUGUGUAAGAGACCAUUGUUACUGACCGUCUCAUCCACGUAUCUCAGUUUUAUUCGGGGGGAAGCAAGUACAAAAAUGAAGGGUGAAUGGCGGCGUACAAAUUGGUCAGAUUCGAACCAACGAAUUGAGGUUUUGCGGACCCCUGCCUUGGCUACUUGGUUGCGGUUACCUAUCAAUUCCAUGUCUUUCCCCUUCUCUGACUUCACUUUUUAGGGUGCAACCCGGAAUAACAGAUGCUGGAAUGCUUUGGGAGGAAGCACAACAUAGGGGACAUAGAUUUUGAUAAAUACUUUCUAAAACUUGAGAAUCUAAGAGUUCUCCCUACCUAAACCCUUUCCGGGGUGACAAUAUAAAGAUGCGUCUAGGGAUUUGUUGAUGCUCCACGACCCAGAAAGUAGCAUCUGUCAACGGAUUCAGCGGCCAUUAGUAUGAAAAAUGCAGGUUCUAGCCAUCAAAUUGGAAAACUAUGCCAGGUUAUGAUCUUAUUCUGUAGUGCUUGAUGGAGAUUCUUUUCUUGGAAUCUCUGAAUUUUUUGUCAGGAUCUUCUGUAGUAGAUGAACUGUUUUCUAGGGUGGCAUAAAUUGGUUGUUUUCAUCUUGUUGAUUAGUUCUUGGCUGUGUAGAUUUUUUUUUCGUUUCUUUUGCUUUGGUGACUCCUGGCUUUAUGCCGUGGGGAGUUUGCUGAGAUAGCUUUGUUGGCUGUGCUGUUUGGACUUUGCUGUAUUUGUUUGGAGCUUUUAAUGAUAAGAGUACAUUUACCGGAAAA